AGGGAGGUAGUGACAAGAAAUAACAAUACAGGGCCUACCGGUCUUGUAAUUGGAAUGAGUAAAGUAUAAACCCCUUUACGAGUAUCAAUUGGAGGGCAAGUCUGGUGCCAGCAGCCGCGGUAAUUCCAGCUCCAAUAGCGUAUAUUAAAGUUGUUGCAGUUAAAAAGCUCGUAGUUGGAUUUCUGUUGC
Molecule: ribosomal RNA, 189 nt
Filed under: Cryptosporidium galli
Lineage: Eukaryota; Apicomplexa; Conoidasida; Eucoccidiorida; Cryptosporidiidae
Description: partial small subunit ribosomal RNA
Rfam family: Eukaryotic small subunit ribosomal RNA
Source: RNAcentral